RNAcentral lists this ribosomal RNA (550 nucleotides) under uncultured Geobacteraceae bacterium. RNAcentral's name for it is "bacterial SSU rRNA". It matches the Rfam family "Bacterial small subunit ribosomal RNA", at positions 9 to 537 of the family's 1533-position model. The record is from RNAcentral. Lineage: Bacteria; Pseudomonadati; Thermodesulfobacteriota; Desulfuromonadia; Geobacterales; Geobacteraceae.
GAGUUUGAUCCUGGCUCAGAACGAACGCUGGCGGCGUGCUUAACACAUGCAAGUCGAACGUGAUCCAGAGCUUGCUCUGGUGAAAGUGGCGCACGGGUGAGUAACGCGUGGAUAACCUGCCCUGGUAUCUGGGAUAACAUCUCGAAAGGGGUGCUAAUACCGGAUAAGCCUACGGACUCCUCGGAGUCUGCAGGAAAAGGAGGCCUCUAUUUAUAAGCUUCCGUAUCAUGAUGGGUCCGCGUACCAUUAGCUAGUUGGUGGGGUAAUGGCCUACCAAGGCGACGAUGGUUAGCUGGUCUGAGAGGAUGACCAGCCACACUGGAACUGAGACACGGUCCAGACUCCUACGGGAGGCAGCAGUGGGGAAUUUUGCGCAAUGGGGGAAACCCUGACGCAGCAACGCCGCGUGAGUGAUGAAGGCUUUCGGGUCGUAAAGCUCUGUCAGAGGGGAAGAAAUGAAACGUGCUAAUAUCACGUUUUCUUGACGGUACCCUCAAAGGAAGCACCGGCUAACUCCGUGCCAGCAGCCGCGGUAAUACAAGGGCGMMYY